RNAcentral lists this long non-coding RNA (214 nucleotides) under Mustela putorius furo (domestic ferret). Its description in RNAcentral is "lncRNA (ENSMPUG00000029306.1)". Lineage: Eukaryota; Metazoa; Chordata; Mammalia; Carnivora; Mustelidae. The record is from RNAcentral.
UCCUGAAGGGAUCGAGGUGUUCCGCCUCAAUCAGUUCUCAUUGAAACUCCUUGAAAGAGCCCUGUAAGUGUCCUCUGAUGUGGAGCCAUACCCUGGAAUCUCAUGAAGUCCUCCUUAGGGAAUGCAGGGUGGACCUGAAGGCCAGCAGGAUGAGUCCGGCCAGGAUAUCAGGACUGACAAGCAGAGAUGAAUCAGAGAACAUGGCCCAACCGCC